CUUCGGUAAUGACGUUAGGAAAGCGAGCGGCGGAUGGGUGAGUAACACGUGGGGAACCUGCCCCAUAGUCUGGGAUACCACUUGGAAACAGGUGCUAAUACCGGAUAAGAAAGCAGAUCGCAUGAUCAGCUUUUAAAAGGCGGCGUAAGCUGUCGCUAUGGGAUGGCCCCGCGGUGCAUUAGCUAGUUGGUAAGGUAAAGGCUUACCAAGGCGAUGAUGCAUAGCCGAGUUGAGAGACUGAUCGGCCACAUUGGGACUGAGACACGGCCCAAACUCCUACGGGAGGCAGCAGUAGGGAAUCUUCCACAAUGGACGCAAGUCUGAUGGAGCAACGCCGCGUGAGUGAAGAAGGUUUUCGGAUCGUAAAGCUCUGUUGUUGGUGAAGAAGGAUAGAGGUAGUAACUGGCCUUUAUUUGACGGUAAUCAACCAGAAAGUCACGGCUAACUACGUGCCAGCAGCCGCGGUAAUACGUAGGUGGCAAGCGUUGUCCGGAUUUAUUGGGCGUAAAGCGAGCGCAGGCGGAAGAAUAAGUCUGAUGUGAAAGCCCUCGGCUUAACCGAGGAACUGCAUCGGAAACUGUUUUUCUUGAGUGCAGAAGAGGAGAGUGGAACUCCAUGUGUAGCGGUGGAAUGCGUAGAUAUAUGGAAGAACACCAGUGGCGAAGGCGGCUCUCUGGUCUGC
Molecule: ribosomal RNA, 682 nt
Filed under: uncultured Bacilli bacterium
Lineage: Bacteria; Bacillati; Bacillota; Bacilli
Description: bacterial SSU rRNA
Rfam family: Bacterial small subunit ribosomal RNA
Source: RNAcentral